Molecule: long non-coding RNA, 422 nt
Filed under: Oryza brachyantha (malo sina)
Lineage: Eukaryota; Viridiplantae; Streptophyta; Magnoliopsida; Poales; Poaceae
Description: long non-coding RNA (OBRA_LNC000072)
Source: RNAcentral
UCGCACAAAUGCACACAGACAGUGGCACAUUCACAUUACUCGAUUCAAGAAGCUUGCAUACCAGGGUGAAACAGGGAUUAAUUAAGCAAACAAAAUACGUACAUUACACACAUCGAUCAGGUAUAAACAUAUAGUAUAUUAUACUACCUAGCUAGACAAGACUGACACAUAAUUAAAGACAUAUGCAUCAGCAAACGCAAGCUAGUACAUAUGUAUAUGAACACAAAUGCACACAUCGAUCAAAGUGACAAACAUUAACACAAACACACACACACACACACUCUCUCUCUCUAGUUAACACCACAAGAAGAUGAAGCAAAUCGAUCAGAAAGAGUAGCAGGACAUGAACACGAACACAAAGACGACGCGAGGAUCGAUGGAGACCGCACGCGAACACGCGGCCGACGAGAGAUGAUGGAGAU